GUGACUAAUUGGCAGUAAGCUUGGAGAGAAUAAAUCCUGUUUUUUGAGUACUGAGAUUGGAUGGACAUGGUAUCUUUUAAGUUUAAAAAGGAGGUUCUAACGCACCCUCAGCCAUCAGAUAUGCAUGUUCUGUUUCUUCAUUACUGCAGCUGCUCUCCAAGGUUCUCCUUUGGGAUGGGACUGUACAGGAAGACACAGUCCGUGGUGUGGGACUGAGCAAGCUGCUGAAUCGUUACCUUCUUCUGAACCUCUUCAACACACCACCAGGGCCAGAAAACAUAGAGAAGUGUAAAGAGGUGGUUGCAUGCUUCCCAGAAAGGUGGUUCCAAAAUCUUGGAAGUGGGUCAACUCUCCCUGAGUUCAGUGAACUUCUGCCAGCAUUUGGUUCAGUGAGCACGUAUGCUUCACAGGAAUAACCACAGGUAACAAACAACAUGUUCUUUGGGAUGCAGCACUUCCUCAUAUUCUUUAUGUUAGUAUUUCUUUUAGGGACGUGGUUCAAUGGGCAUGGUGGUGAUGGGUUGACAGUUGGACUAGAUGAUCUUUGUGGUUUUUUCCAACCUUAAUGAUUCUAUGAUUCUUAAAUUCCUCAAGUCCUCAUACAUUUAACACUUUCAGUGAUGUAUUUCCAACAUCUAUGUACAACAAAAGAUGCAAUCCAUAAUGUAAAAUGGAUUGCUUUUGCAGUACUAGUUCAGGCUAGUUUGAGGCUCUAGAUGUUGGGUGCAGUUAGUGGUCAGUGUAGCUAAAGGCACCAGAUGACAGUUAGGGAGAGUUCCCUGUCUCUUUUAAGUACGUUUCAGCUUUAUUGAUUUUGAAGUCAGAUGUGAAUGUGUUGCUAUAUCAACUUGUUUUUUUAAUAGUGAUGAAACUGAAGUUGUUGUUCUCCUGUUGGUGAAAGUCAAGGCUCUGAAUAUUGCUGAAGAGCUCAUUGAAGAGUGCAAACUGGAACAUCUUAAAUCUGUGAUCAGGAAAUAAGGAUUUCUUUGAAGCAGCAGUUCUUUUACUGAAACAAGCCUGAUGCUCACUCUAAAAAAGUGGGAAUGUUGAAUGAGUGGACUGCCUACAGUUGUUUUACUGUGAAAUAUUUUGGUUUUUUUUCCAAAUGUCUUCUGAUGCCAUCUACUCCUAGAUAAAAUCACAAUCGUCAGUGUAAAGUGAAGGUGUUCUGAAAUAUAUGACAAAGCCUCAUUGCUUUGUUCUUUUGGGAAGGAUGACUGCAGUAAGUGCCUGUAAUGUUACCACUGCUAGUGAGCAGACAACUUCAGAAGCUGUUUUCAGUACCACACCAAAUCACUCUGACUCAGGAGUCACUGAACUCUAACUUAUUGUCCACUUAAUGAGAUAACUCUACCAAACUCGCAGUGAGUUCUUCUCACUUAGAAAGCUUGUCAUAGCUUUUUGAUCCUGACACAGAAGCAGGAAUUCUGUGUGCAGUGAGAAGUUUGAUCUGUGAACAUCUACUGAUGGUAAGUGGGUGUUCAGGAAGGCAAGAAGUUGCAAAGGAGAAUGUCUUAACUACGCUUACUCUUCUCCAGAGUAUGAUUUGUAGUGGAGCUUUGUACUUGAGAUAUACACUGGACUUUGUGCACAGACUUGGAGUUGUCACACACCCUCAUCUAUCAGACAAGCAGAACAACAACUCCAGUUACCUUCUAGUAAUUGGCUCUCUAAGGACAUUUUACUUUUGCUUCCCUGUGAGACCCAUUAAACCUCAUUUCACUGUACCCAUGUUAGAUUUCUAAUGUUGUGUAACUUUGUAUAUGUGCAGUAAAUAUUACUGCUGCAGAAUAAAAAGGAUGUUUUAUUGUAGAAAUAGCAGUGCGUCACAAAUUCUGCUAAAGUUUGCUAUUGCCUGUUUCUCUAAAAUGUUAUGGGUCUUCCAUUUAACUCUUGGAGGCUUUUAUUCCCUAUGAUUUUUCUCUUUUUUUAUUACAGAAUAUAUAUUUUUGUGAACUAUUUUAAUUGUAAAUAGCAUUCAUCAGUGUUAUAGACAAAAAUGACUUCUAAAAUAAAAGCAAAGCAAUUAUUUUGAAAAGUAAAGAUAUUUUUGUGUUAAUGAGACUUCAAACACUUUCAAGUCUUGAACAUGACAAGGAAUGUUAUGUGAAGUAUGGAAAAAAAACUUUGGCACUGCUGGCACUUCAUUAUCUGCAGGAUUUAGGAGUUCUGUUGUAAGUAAUUGUGCACUUCUACUUUCCUGAGUGCAAAGAAAAUACAAC
This is a long non-coding RNA of Gallus gallus (chicken), 2222 nucleotides long. The record is from Ensembl. Lineage: Eukaryota; Metazoa; Chordata; Aves; Galliformes; Phasianidae.